This 253-nucleotide ribosomal RNA is filed under the name uncultured bacterium. RNAcentral describes it as "partial 16S ribosomal RNA". It matches the Rfam family "Bacterial small subunit ribosomal RNA", at positions 524 to 776 of the family's 1533-position model. The record is from RNAcentral.
UACGGAGGGUGCGAGCGUUGUCCGGAAUCACUGGGCGUAAAGGGCGCGUAGGCGGCCUGAUAAGUAGGGGGUGAAAUCCUGCGGCUUAACCGCAGGGCUGCCUUCUAAACUGUCAGGCUAGAGCACAGUAGAGGCAGGUGGAAUUCCCGGUGUAGCGGUGAAAUGCGUAGAGAUCGGGAAGAACAUCGGUGGCGAAGGCGCUCUACUGGACCACAACUGACACUCAGGGACGAAAGCUAGGGGAGCGAACAGG